This 69-nucleotide microRNA precursor is filed under the name Ciona intestinalis (vase tunicate). RNAcentral's name for it is "miRNA (ENSCING00000019156.1)". Lineage: Eukaryota; Metazoa; Chordata; Ascidiacea; Phlebobranchia; Cionidae. The record is from RNAcentral.
AGCCUGCUAAUCGGCCCACGUUUAAUCGGACCAGUUUGGCUUGGUUCCGAUGUGGUCCGAUUAAGCGGG